RNAcentral lists this ribosomal RNA (375 nucleotides) under uncultured Acidobacteriota bacterium. RNAcentral's name for it is "bacterial SSU rRNA". It matches the Rfam family "Bacterial small subunit ribosomal RNA", at positions 978 to 1346 of the family's 1533-position model. The record is from RNAcentral. Lineage: Bacteria; Pseudomonadati; Acidobacteriota.
GGCUAGAAUGCCCGUGACAGCCCCAGAGAUGGGGUCUCCUUGGUAAAACUUGGCACGGUGCAAGGUGCUGCAUGGCUGUCGUCAGCUCGUGUCGUGAGAUGUUAGGUUAAAAAAACGCAACGAGCGCAACCCUUAUCAAUAGUUGCCAGCGGUUCGGCCGGGCACUCUAUUGAGACUGCCGUUGACAAAACGGAGGAAGGUGGGGAUGACGUCAAGUCCUCAUGGCCUUUAUGUCCAGGGCUACACACGUGCUACAAUGGCCGGUACAAAGCGCUGCAAACCUGCAAAGGGGAGCCAAUCGCAAAAAGCCGGUCUCAGAUCGGAUUGGAGUCUCUCCCCUCCGCAGACAUGAAGCUGGAAUCGCUAGUAAUCGCA